GACGAACGCUGGCGGCGUGCUUAACACAUGCAAGUCGAACGGAAAGGCCCUGCUUGCAGGGUACUCGAGUGGCGAACGGGUGAGUAACACGUGGGUGAUCUGCCCUGCACUUCGGGAUAAGCCUGGGAAACUGGGUCUAAUACCGGAUAGGAGCCAUUUUUAGUGUGAUGGUUGGAAAGUUUUUUCGGUGUAGGAUGAGCUCGCGGCCUAUCAGCUUGUUGGUGGGGUAAUGGCCUACCAAGGCGGCGACGGGUAGCCGGCCUGAGAGGGUGGACGGCCACAUUGGGACUGAGAUACGGCCCAGACUCCUACGGGAGGCAGCAGUGGGGAAUAUUGCACAAUGGGCGCAAGACUGAUGCAGCGACGCCGCGUGGGGGAUGACGGCCUUCGGGUUGUAAACUCCUUUCGCUAGGGACGAAGCUUUUUGUGACGGUACCUAGAUAAGAAGCACCGGCUAACUACGUG
Molecule: ribosomal RNA, 465 nt
Filed under: uncultured bacterium
Lineage: Bacteria
Description: partial 16S ribosomal RNA
Rfam family: Bacterial small subunit ribosomal RNA
Source: RNAcentral